AUUGAACGCUGGCGGCUGGCUUAACACAUGCAAGUCGAGCGGGGGAAGGUAGCUUGCUACCGGACCUAGCGGCGGACGGGUGAGUAAUGCUUAGGAAUCUGCCUAUCAGUGGGGGACAACAUCUCGAAAGGGAUGCUAAUACCGCAUACGUCCUACGGGAGAAAGCAGGGGAUCUUCGGACCUUGCGCUAAUAGAUGAGCCUAAGUCGGAUUAGCUAGUUGGUGGGGUAAAGGCCUACCAAGGCGACGAUCUGUAGCGGGUCUGAGAGGAUGAUCCGCCACACUGGGACUGCGACCCGGCCCAGACUCCUACGGGAGGCAGCAGUGGGGAAUAUUGGACAAUGGGGGGAACCCUGAUCCAGCCAUGCCGCGUGUGUGAAGAAGGCCUUAUGGUUGUAAAGCACUUUAAGCGAGGAGGAGGCUACUUUAGUUAAUAUCUAGAGAUAGUGGACGUUACUCGCAGAAUAAGCACCGGCUAACUCUGUGCCAGCCGCCGCAGUAA
RNAcentral lists this ribosomal RNA (501 nucleotides) under uncultured bacterium. Its description in RNAcentral is "partial 16S ribosomal RNA". It matches the Rfam family "Bacterial small subunit ribosomal RNA", at positions 30 to 523 of the family's 1533-position model. The record is from RNAcentral.